This 387-nucleotide ribosomal RNA is filed under the name uncultured Planctomycetota bacterium. RNAcentral describes it as "bacterial SSU rRNA". It matches the Rfam family "Bacterial small subunit ribosomal RNA", at positions 444 to 836 of the family's 1533-position model. The record is from RNAcentral. Lineage: Bacteria; Pseudomonadati; Planctomycetota.
UUCGCAAUGCCCGAAAGGGUCUGACCUAUCCCUGGAGGAAGCACGGGCUAAGUUCGUGCCAGCAGCCGCGGUAAGACGAACCGUGCGAACGUUGUUCGGAAUCACUGGGCUUAAAGGGCGCGUAGGCGGGCCGCAAAGUCAGGGGUGAAAUCCUCCAGCUCAACUGGAGAACUGCCCUUGAUACUGGCGGCCUGGAGUAAGGUAGGGGCAUGCGGAACUGAUGGUGGAGCGGUGAAAUGUGUUGAUAUCAUCAGGAACUCCGGUGGCGAAAGCGGCGUGCUGGACCUUUACUGACGCUGAGGCGCGAAAGCCAGGGGAGCAAACGGGAUUAGAUACCCCGGUAGUCCUGGCCCUAAACGAUGGGCACUAAGUAGUGGGGUUUUAAUC